Long non-coding RNA from Rhineura floridana, 1992 nucleotides. RefSeq lists it as uncharacterized. The record is from RefSeq and is a predicted model, not a curated record. Lineage: Eukaryota; Metazoa; Chordata; Lepidosauria; Squamata; Rhineuridae. The transcript has 3 exons.
GUCGAGGUCCACUCAGCCUUCCAUCCAUCCAUCCGUGGUCGGUAAAAUGAGUACCCGGCAUAUGCUGGGGGGUAAAGAAAGGCCGGGGAAGGAGCUGGCAAUCCCACCCCAUAUAUACGGUCUGCCUAGUAAACGUCGCAAGAUAUCACCCUAAGAGUCAGAAAUGACUCGCACUAUAAGUGCGGGGACACCUUUACCUUUUACUAGCGAGGCACGGCUCAGUUUCUUACAACAAAAUGGCAACCACGAAGGCACCCCUCGCUUGCCAGGACUGCCCAAGGUGGCCUUGGACCGCCGCCAGCCGGCAUGGAGAGAUCCUUUGAGUCUCACAGGUGGCGUUUUCCAUUGACUCUGAGGGGUCACCUCAGUGAUAUCAUGGAUCGACCUUGCAGUCUCCAAAGUGCUGUGUCCUCAUCUACCAAGGAAUCCACUUCAGAGGGUCUAGGCACAACUGGAAUUCGCACCAACGACAGUAUUCUAAAGUCAUCCCCCACCCCUUGGUCCAAACAGGCCUCUCCAUUUCCUUAUAUUGUCAAUGUUUCUGGUGCAACUCAAACUGAUUUUGUGGGUCAUGGUAAAUCUACUCAAACAGAUGUUCAUUGCUUUGAUCAGUCUACUCAAUCAAAAUUUCACCCAGAUCAACUAUAAAAGAGUGUUUGAAAUAGGGUUUGUCUUUAAUCAUGACCAAAUGGAUAUGUAAAUCUCUGAGGCCAAAGGAAAAAGUUACUCAGGGAAAGGUAUCAAAGUUAUAUAUAUAUUAUGUAUUGUAUUAUAUUCAGUGAACUUUAUGAAUAGCAUUGUAAUCAGUCUAGGGUUAAAGAAGCACAGUCUUUUCCCACUGAUGUUCCUUGUUAUGACCAAAUGGGGGGGAAUUAUGUGUGAGAAGUAGUAAUUUCUUGAGUUCAACCUUUUCCAGUUCUUGUAUUCACCAAUAUAGCAGUUAAAGCAAAGAAAAAGGAGGCCUGGAUACACGCAGCACGUGUGAAAAGGACAUUACAUCCAGCAGAUGCUCUCCCAACCGUGGGACCCUGAUGCUUUGUUUCCAUUACACAAAUUGCCUGAAGAGAAUCUAGUGAGACUGGCUGAAAAUAUUCUGAGAUAGAGCAGAAAGAGACAUUGGAAAUAUGUGAGGAACUCACUAACUUUAAAUUAAAAGCCUUUGAUUCCUUCCCAGGUUCUGCAAAGUAUCCUCCUGAUGGAACAGAUGCAGAUAUUGCCAAAAUGUUAAGAGAGGAAGGCUUUUCGAUAAGAGGACAGCAUUGAUUCAGGUUUGAUUUCCCAAGUAAGGGCUACAGGAGAAUUCCAGACGAUUUGGACAAAGCUUGGAGGAUGUGGAGGACUUCCUGCCCUGACAUGCUGGAAUCAGGCUUGGCGACUUUCCAAGAGCAGCUUAAUCAAGAGUGUUUGUUGGGAGAACUCCUCACACAUAUCAAUGAAGGAUUCCAAGGCUGUUAUAGUUUCAGCCCAUGCCAGUUGAAGAAAAGGCAUUUCAACAGUCACUCGAUGGGAGGCAGGUUUGGAGAAAUAAAGUCUCCAUGCCUUUCCCCCCCCCCCAAGGUUUCCAGAGAAGAUGCUACAGUUGUAUUUUAUUCUUUUGAUGUACUGUGAUUGCCUAUGUUUCUGAUCGUAUCUUACCCUGUUUACUGUUUAAUGUUUAAUGUUCCUGUUAUUGUAUAGUUAGGCUGUACUAUGGGUGUAGAAAUGAAUCCAGCUGGGAAGUUUGGUUGGUUUGUGUUUCUAUCAUUAUUACAAGUUUCAAGUUUCACACCAAGCAUGCAUAUGUCCACAAUGGCCUCCCAAUCAGGAUUACAUCAGUAAGGUAUUUACUAUGAUGGAUAUGACAAUGAUUCAGCGUUAUGAUCCAAGUAUUAAGUGUAAAUAAGAAGAAGCCAUAAUGUGGGUAGGGUAAUAAAGAUAAUUGGUCUGCUAGAAAACGCCAUUAUUGCUAUAGCAUAUUAUUGUUGACCGCACCCACAUAGCUGUUUGUCUCUG